UGUAAGCGUAUACCAAAGUUGUUGCAGUUAAAACGCUCGUAGUCGGAAUUUGGCAGUUCCGGAUGUGUGCACGUCGUGUGCGCACUUCGCGGGGAUUGCUUUUGUGGUCUUGCGUAGGAUGAGGCACUUUUAUUAGUGAACGUCCUCACGCAACCACUUUUUACUGUGAGAAAAUCAGAGUGCUCAAAGCAGGCAUUUGCCGUGAAUGUAUUAGCAUGGAAUAAUAGAAUAGGACUUGGUUCUAUUUUGUUGGUUUGUUGGGACUGAGUAAUGAUUAAGAGGGACAGUUGGGGGCAUUUGUAUUUCGGUGCUAGAGGUGAAAUUCUUAGAUUUACGGAAGACGAACUACUGCGAAAGCAUUUACCAAGGAUGUUUUCAUUAA
This 382-nucleotide ribosomal RNA is filed under the name uncultured eukaryote. RNAcentral describes it as "partial 18S ribosomal RNA". It matches the Rfam family "Eukaryotic small subunit ribosomal RNA", at positions 592 to 976 of the family's 1831-position model. The record is from RNAcentral.